This 253-nucleotide ribosomal RNA is filed under the name uncultured bacterium. RNAcentral's name for it is "partial 16S ribosomal RNA". It matches the Rfam family "Bacterial small subunit ribosomal RNA", at positions 524 to 776 of the family's 1533-position model. The record is from RNAcentral.
GACGGAGGGGGCUAGCGUUGUUCGGAAUUACUGGGCGUAAAGGGCGCGUAGGUGGUUUAGUAAGUUGGAAGUGAAAUCCCGGAGCUUAACUUCGGAAUGUCUUUCAAAACUGCUAGGCUAGAGUGUAGUAGGGGAUGAUGGAAUUCCUAGUGUAGAGGUGAAAUUCUUAGAUAUUAGGAGGAACACCAGGGGCGAAGGCGAUCAUCUGGGCUAUAACUGACACUAAAGCGCGAAAGCGUGGGGAGCAAACAGG